CUUGAUGGUACCAGCGCCAUCAGCAGACAGCCGAACAUAAGGCCAGGCUCACCAGCAGAUGCUGCCUGCUUUGUAGCGCUCCAGUUACGCGAAGCAGCUCUGUUAGGAGGAGGGCUGUACUGUGGGGUGUAGAGGAAAAGCUCAGUCAAGACGUUCGGGGUAGCAUCCAGAAGUAAAACAGCUAUUUGGGAAAUCAAGAACUGAGCAGUGAACUGAAGCGGAGCACAUUCUUCUCUGCACUCCAGCAGAAGAGUAGACAACACCCAUAAUUCAUGUAAAAUGCACCGUACAACACUGACAUCUGCAAGGAGCUCAUCAUUCUUUGAUGUUGUUGUCUUUUACAAAGCUUCUCUCUUUCC
Molecule: long non-coding RNA, 359 nt
Organism: Numida meleagris (helmeted guineafowl)
Lineage: Eukaryota; Metazoa; Chordata; Aves; Galliformes; Numididae
Source: Ensembl